RNAcentral lists this ribosomal RNA (468 nucleotides) under uncultured bacterium. RNAcentral describes it as "partial 16S ribosomal RNA". It matches the Rfam family "Bacterial small subunit ribosomal RNA", at positions 28 to 507 of the family's 1533-position model. The record is from RNAcentral.
GACGAACGCUGGCGGCGUGCUUAACACAUGCAAGUCGAACGGAAAGGCCCUGCUUUUGUGGGGUGCUCGAGUGGCGAACGGGUGAGUAACACGUGAGUAACCUGCCCUUGACUUUGGGAUAACUUCAGGAAACUGGGGCUAAUACCGGAUAGGAGCUCCUGCUGCAUGGUGGGGGUUGGAAAGUUUCGGCGGUUGGGGAUGGACUCGCGGCUUAUCAGCUUGUUGGUGGGGUAGUGGCUUACCAAGGCUUUGACGGGUAGCCGGCCUGAGAGGGUGACCGGGCCCCAUGGGACUGCGGGACGGACCAGAGUCCUACGGGGGGCAGCGGGGGGGAAUAUUGCCCAAUGGGCGGGAGCCUGGUGUAGCGACGCCGGGGGCGGGAUGAGGGCCUUUGGGUUGUAAACCGCUUUCGCCUGUGACGAAGCGUGAGUGACGGUAAUGGGUAAAGAAGCACCGGCUAACUACGUG